This 59-nucleotide transfer RNA is filed under the name Cylicostephanus minutus. RNAcentral's name for it is "tRNA-Glu". The record is from RNAcentral. Lineage: Eukaryota; Metazoa; Nematoda; Chromadorea; Rhabditida; Strongylidae.
GAGACUUUAGUAUAAUGUAGUAUAAUUUAUUUUCAAUAAAUAGGUGAAAUAAGUCUUAU